Long non-coding RNA from Quercus robur (English oak), 582 nucleotides. RefSeq lists it as uncharacterized. The record is from RefSeq and is a predicted model, not a curated record. The transcript has 2 exons. NCBI's taxonomy places the organism in Eukaryota, Viridiplantae, Streptophyta, Magnoliopsida, Fagales, Fagaceae.
GACAAGAAUUCCAUGCAAUGCAAUGUUGUUUAAAAGGAACAAGGACACGUGUUAGAGUGUAAGAGGAAUUAAUUAAUUACCUAUUUUUGCUUAGAAGAUUAGCAUCAUUGUUUUUCCCUAGCAAAUGGCUGUGUUCUAAAGCUACUAAGUGCCAAGGUAAGGAAGGUAGAAAGAAGUUUCUCUGCACAGUAAAAGUAGAUGAAGCAAAAGCUUUUUUAGUGUAUAUAAAUUGCCACUCCAAAUUGCUUUGUUGAUAUGAAUUUCUGCAACACAAAGUUUAUUAGUUUCUGAAGGUUGGUGCUUACGACUAUGUGUAGGAAAGGGUACAAGGCAGCUGCAAUUUCCGCGAAAUUUCCUUUUAGUAUGGUGUUGAACAAAAGUCACAAAAAACGGCGCAGUGAUGCCGUAGUUUUAUGUCCGUGGGUGUCGAUAAUGUUUAUUUCUUCUGGAACCUCUAGAUAUUUUUACCUACAGUUUGUUAUGACAUGGUUGAUACGUACCAAUUUAUUGAAGCUCAUGAAAUCAUACAGGAUGUACUUGGUGGUUCAGGACUUAUAAUUCAUAAAAGUUCAAUCGGGUGGA